Musca domestica (house fly) is the source of this 478-nucleotide RNA transcript. RefSeq lists it as uncharacterized. The transcript is spliced from 2 exons. Lineage: Eukaryota; Metazoa; Arthropoda; Insecta; Diptera; Muscidae. The record is from RefSeq and is a predicted model, not a curated record.
AGCAAUUUAGAAAUACAUUGGACUUUUUAUUUUUGGGUUAUUUCAAACUCUAGUAACUAGUGUGGAGACUAGUAGUGCAGACCCAACAUGCCAAAAAUAAAUUAAAUUAAAGUAACUUAUCUAACGUCUGCCUGCCUUCGUUGGCAAAUUUGUUUUUAAUUUUUGCGAAUAUUAUCGGUACCAAAUUGUUCUUUAUAGUAAAUAACAAAUGCCAAGCUAAUUUUGGACACAAUUAUAUGUCCGAACCACAUUCUUAAGAGUGGACGUAUCAAGAAAUUGCGGAAAUCUAACCCAAGUUCACAAAGUUGAGAAAUGAAGGAGAGGCAUGAGCUCAAAAUGCGAAUCAAAAGUGAAAGCAACAGGAGACAGUAACCAGAACCAGUAAAUUGAAUUUAAUAAAAAUUGCUAAUCAUUUGCGUUUGUAAUAUUAAAAGAAUAAGCUCAAUAUAAGUUUCGUAAGCUUUUGCUACAAUUGCAA